This 1165-nucleotide long non-coding RNA is filed under the name Homo sapiens (human). Its description in RNAcentral is "HSALNT0388734". Lineage: Eukaryota; Metazoa; Chordata; Mammalia; Primates; Hominidae. The record is from RNAcentral.
CUUUUCAUUCCCGUUGUUAUGGAGGUAGGCUCUCUAGGAAUCUGGGAGUAGUAGCUGGGGGGCAAGAGCAAAUAAAGAGCUCGAGCUUCUGUGGUCUCUGGGGAGAUGUUCCCGGGAAGCCUGUCUAGAGGGCGGAGGGCAGCUGUUGAGAUGGCGUGGCUCCCCGGCUCCUGCGCCCGCGUGGCUUUCGCGGCGGGCGCUGCGGCCCGGUAUUGGACAGCCUGGCAGGGCAGCGCGGGGCCGAAUCCGGCUGCCGUGGCUGAGGCUCAUGGAUCACUCUUUUGUGGUAGGGCCACAUCUGCCAGAGCCUGGAGUCUGCGAAGGCCGGGACCCGGUUCCCCGGCCCACAGUGGGGGUGUGCAAACCCGAGAGAACUGGGUUGCAAAUUCGUGAAGAAUCAGCAUCAUGUUUGGCAGCUGAGUAUUGGAGCCAGGAGCCUGCCAUGAGGUUUUGAGAACAGAGUGCUGUUUUAGAGCUGGCAGCAGCAUCUCAGCCCAAGAGAAGGUUAUAUUCCCAGAGGAUGUCAGUCCCAAGGACCAGUAGCUGCCAUCAGUUUGGAUUCUGAAAACUAACUGGCAUCAACACUGGGUGUAGAAACAUGCUUGCCUUAUGUAUCAGAGGACAUGCUCAGCAGAUCCAAGAGAUAUAUUUGGCAACUUUUUCUAGAAAAGGCACAUUGGGUAUCAUUCAUUACAUUCUUGAGUUUUUUUGGGUUUUUUUUUUUUUUUUUGAGACAGUCUUGCUGUAUUGCCCAGGCUGGAGUGUGGUGGCACAAUCACAGCUCAUUGCAUCCUCAAUCACCCAGGCCUAAGCAAUCCUCCCACCUUGUAGCUGGGACUACAGCUCACAGCACACCUGGCUAAAAUUUUUUUUUUGUUGAGACGGAUUCUCUAUGUUGCCCAGGCUGGUCUCAGGCUCCUGGGCUCAGAUGGUCCUCCUGCCUCAGCUUCCAAAGGCACAGGCCAAGUUGUAGCUUUGUCCCUUGCCAUCAUGCCCAACAAGAGGUUCUAUACCUUUUAAUGAAUUGACUUUCAUAAAUUGGUUAUGUUGGUGGGCAAAGUUCUUUAAGCUGGAAAUUGUAAAUUCCUCCUGAAAUGUUUUUUCAUGCAGUUACCAUGAACUAAUACUACAAUAAAGGAUGGUCUUGGGUGUCAAUUCUUGAAAA